Molecule: ribosomal RNA, 239 nt
Filed under: Listeria fleischmannii
Lineage: Bacteria; Bacillati; Bacillota; Bacilli; Caryophanales; Listeriaceae
Description: partial 23S ribosomal RNA
Rfam family: Bacterial large subunit ribosomal RNA
Source: RNAcentral
UGAGGUUAAGUUAGGAAGGGCGCACGGUGGAUGCCUUGGCACUAGGAGCCGAAGAAGGACGGGACUAACACCGAUAUGCUUUGGGGAGCUGUACGUAAGCGUUGAUCCAGAGAUUUCCGAAUGGGGGAACCCACUAUCUUUAGUCGGAUAGUAUCCUUAUGCGAAUACAUAGCAUAAGGAAGGCAGACCCAGGGAACUGAAACAUCUAAGUACCUGGAGGAAGAGAAAGAAAAAUCGAU